This 435-nucleotide long non-coding RNA is filed under the name Parus major (Great Tit). Its description in RNAcentral is "lncRNA (ENSPMJG00000004052.1)". Lineage: Eukaryota; Metazoa; Chordata; Aves; Passeriformes; Paridae. The record is from RNAcentral.
AUUAUGUGUUACAAAUAUAAAAUUAUUAUUAUUAUAUGCAUGUGAAAUAUAGAUGAUUAUAUGUAAUGAUAUAAUCGGGGUGCAGAGCAGAACAUGAAACCUACUUCUACUUCAGAAAACCUGUUUAUUCUGUUCUCUUCACAGGAGAGUGUGGCUCUUUCAUUUACAUCUCAACUGUAAAAACAAAUUCCAGGCUCUUGGUUCAAAAGCUCAGGAACACUCUGCUCUAUGAGCAGAAAGGAGACUGCAAAACUACUUGCCUAAAGAAAUGAAAUAACAGCGAGCAUUUGCCAAAGCACUCCCACCACUUGAAGCAGUUUGUUUUGCAGAACACUCACUGCCACACUUCUGAGUGAGAAAGAAGCAACAGGAGAGCAAAAUCUUUCCUUUAAUCAUUUCUGAAGAGCUUAUCAUAGUAGCACUGAGAUAUUCAUA